Molecule: ribosomal RNA, 253 nt
Filed under: uncultured bacterium
Lineage: Bacteria
Description: partial 16S ribosomal RNA
Rfam family: Bacterial small subunit ribosomal RNA
Source: RNAcentral
UACGUAGGGUCCGAGCGUUAAUCGGAAUUACUGGGCGUAAAGCGUGCGCAGGCGGUUUUGUAAGCCAGAUGUGAAAGCCCCGGGCUUAACCUGGGAAUGGCAUUUGGGACUGCAAGGCUGGAGUACGGCAGAGGGAGGUGGAAUUCCAGGUGUAGCAGUGAAAUGCGUAGAUAUCUGGAGGAACACCGAUGGCGAAGGCAGCCUCCUGGGCUAGUACUGACGCUCAUGCACGAAAGCGUGGGGAGCAAACAGG